GGGAAUGUGGCUUAGUGGUGUAGAGUGCUUGCCUAGCAUGCAUGAAGCCCUGGGUUCCAUUCCUCAUUACCA
RNAcentral lists this transfer RNA (72 nucleotides) under Dipodomys ordii (Ord's kangaroo rat). It matches the Rfam family "tRNA". Rfam says of the family: Transfer RNA (tRNA) molecules are approximately 80 nucleotides in length. The record is from Rfam by way of RNAcentral. Lineage: Eukaryota; Metazoa; Chordata; Mammalia; Rodentia; Heteromyidae.